Molecule: transfer RNA, 74 nt
Filed under: Candidatus Bathyarchaeota archaeon RBG_16_57_9
Lineage: Archaea; Thermoproteati; Candidatus Bathyarchaeota
Also listed under: 1 other name
Description: tRNA-Lys
Rfam family: tRNA
About the family: Transfer RNA (tRNA) molecules are approximately 80 nucleotides in length. Their secondary structure includes four short double-helical elements and three loops (D, anti-codon, and T loops).
Source: RNAcentral
GGGCCUGUAGCUCAGCAAGGUAGAGCAUCGGCCUUUUAAGCCGUUGGUCAGGGGUUCGAAUCCCCUCAGGCCCG